GAUGAAGAACGCAGCGAAAUGCGAUAAGUAAUGUGAAUUGCAGAAUUCAGUGAAUCAUCGAAUCUUUGAACGCACAUUGCGCCCGCCAGUAUUCUGGCGGGCAUGCCUGUUCGAGCGUCAUUACAACCCUCAGGCCCCCGGGCCUGGCGUUGGGGAUCGGCGGAAGCCCCCUGCGGGCACAACGCCGUCCCCCAAAUACAGUGGCGGUCCCGCCGCAGCUUCCAUUGCGUAGUAGCUAACACCUCGCAACUGGAGAGCGGCGCGGCCACGCCGUAAAACACCCAACUUCUGAAUGUUGACCUCGAAUUAGGUAGGAAUACCCGCUGAACUUAAGCAUAUCAAUAAGCGGAGGA
RNAcentral lists this unclassified non-coding RNA (353 nucleotides) under soil metagenome. RNAcentral describes it as "partial contains 5.8S ribosomal RNA, internal transcribed spacer 2, and large subunit ribosomal RNA". The stretch from base 1 to 120 matches the Rfam family "5.8S ribosomal RNA", at positions 35 to 154 of the family's 154-position model. The record is from RNAcentral.